ACCAGUAAAUUAAAAUCACAACUAACAUGGCAUAUCAUUCACAGCAUAUGUUUGAUAGGAAAGGUAAUCCUCCACAUGCUCUUACAAGACAGGUUCAAAGUUAAGAUAGUCAAAGUAGUAGGCAAGUUUUGGCCAUAGUGGGGUUCAGCUUUGGGGAUCUUUCACAGAUAUAUCAUUCUCUACACAAAAUGUGCGUAUAAAAAAGUUCAUUUAUUGAUUAAUCCACUGAAAACGUUACAUAUUGAUUCAGCUAGUGAGGAAACUAGCAUGACCAUGCACCUAAAAGAAUUUGGUUAGCAAACACAUAGCAACUACUAGACAAAGUCUGGGAUUAAAAUAUUUAGCAAAAUUAUGUUAAAAGCAGAAUCAGGGUGGCACAACCUUUUUGUUACUUAAGUUAGAGAGGCAGAGAAUGAGACCCUUGGCUAGAACAACUUGUAUUCAGAUGAAAAUUAAGUAGCAUUCUAUUCCCUCAAAAUUAGAGAAGUUGAACGAUUAGAGUAACAGACUGCCCCCCGUACUUCCAUCCCAACAAGUAACAAUAUAAUUGCAGAAACUAGCCAUUGUAACAAUACCAAACUUGAGAGAACAACGAAAUUAAUACUUAAAACUUACCAAAAGAAAGAAAGAAAGAAAAGAA
RNAcentral lists this unclassified non-coding RNA (640 nucleotides) under Hevea brasiliensis (rubber tree). The record is from RNAcentral. Lineage: Eukaryota; Viridiplantae; Streptophyta; Magnoliopsida; Malpighiales; Euphorbiaceae.